Molecule: ribosomal RNA, 429 nt
Filed under: bacterium
Lineage: Bacteria
Description: partial 16S ribosomal RNA
Rfam family: Bacterial small subunit ribosomal RNA
Source: RNAcentral
UAGGGAAUCUUCCACAAUGGACGCAAGUCUGAUGGAGCAACGCUGCGUGAGUGAAGAAGGUUUUCGGAUCGUAAAGCUCUGUUGUUGGUGAAGAAGGAUAGAGGUAGUAACUGGCCUUUAUUUGACGGUAAUCAACCAGAAAGUCUUGGCUAACUACGUGCCAGCAGCCGCGGUAAUACGUAGGUGGCAAGCGUUGUCCGGAUGUAUUGGGCGUAAAGCGAGCGCAGGCGGAAGAAUAAGUCUGAUGUGAAAGCCCUCGGCUUAACCGAGGAACUGCAUCGGAAACUGUUUUUCUUGAGUGCAGAAGAGGAGAGUGGAAUUCCAUGUGUAGCGGUGGAAUGCGUAGAUAUAUGGAAGAACACCAGUGGCGAAGGCGACUCUCUGGUCUGCAACUGACGCUGAGGCUCGAAAGCAUGGGUAGCGAACAGG